AGCUGCUUCUGUGCCUCUUCUCUCGUAUAGUUAUUUUUCUCAUUUUUUAACUUAUUUCCUAAAGAAAGAACAGAAAUGCUAAAUAUACUAACGAAAAACGUAAUCUUUCUUAUAUAUUGACAUAACAAGGGGCACAAGUGUAAAUUCACUCUUGAAAAGGCCUAUCUCCCCCUACCCACUCCCAUUAAUUUGCAUAGUCUCACCAUGGAAAAGGCUCUCUCCCCGUCUUUCUCUCUCUCUCUCUCUCUCGUUCUGCUCCCUCUCCCAGCUGAGUGCCUCUUCUUAAGAAAGCUACCUUCUUCACGCGUGGAUUUGGUGAAAGUCUUCCUAUCGAUGAGUCAUGACAGGCAGAGGUAUACUUCACCGAAAUGUUACUUGGAAGAUCUCUCGAUCUUAAGGUUUUAAACAAGCGUUUUCUGUCUUUUUCUUUAAUUUUCUAUUUUUUUUAAUAAUAAUGACAUGUCAGCUCGUGCAAAGCACGUUUUUUGUACGUACAUGUAGCAGCCCUCUAUUCAAAAUACGCUGCAAAAGCAGGUGACAUGAGCCAAAGAAAAUGAUACAUUUAUUUAUAAUUCAAAUGCCAACUCGAAUAGAAACUUUGAAUC
This is a long non-coding RNA of Carya illinoinensis, 605 nucleotides long. RefSeq lists it as uncharacterized. NCBI's taxonomy places the organism in Eukaryota, Viridiplantae, Streptophyta, Magnoliopsida, Fagales, Juglandaceae. The transcript has 2 exons. The record is from RefSeq and is a predicted model, not a curated record.